This 429-nucleotide ribosomal RNA is filed under the name bacterium. RNAcentral describes it as "partial 16S ribosomal RNA". It matches the Rfam family "Bacterial small subunit ribosomal RNA", at positions 355 to 776 of the family's 1533-position model. The record is from RNAcentral.
UAGGGAAUCUUCCACAAUGGACGCAAGUCUGAUGGAGCAACGCCGCGUGAGUGAAGAAGGUUUUCGGAUCGUAAAGCUCUGUUGUUGGUGAAGAAGGAUAGAGGCAGUAACUGGUCUUUAUUUGACGGUAAUCAACCAGAAAGUCACGGCUAACUACGUGCCAGCAGCCGCGGUAAUACGUAGGUGGCAAGCGUUGUCCGGAUUUAUUGGGCGUAAAGCGAGCGAAGGCGGAAUUAUAAGUCUGAUGUGAAAGCACACGGAUCACCCGGGGAACUGUCUCGGAAACUGUCAGUCUUGAGUGCAGAAGAGGAGAGUGGAAUUCCAUGUGUAGCGGUGGAAUGCGUAGAUAUAUGGAAGAGCACCAGUGGCGAAGGCGGCGCUCUGGUCUGCAACUGACGCUGAGGCUCGAAAGCAUGGGUAGCGAACAGG